AGGGAAGAUGUUAUAUUGGUCACCUCUUCCUUCUGGCACCUGGGUUAUUUACAGACUAAAUGAGACAGUGUAUAUCUAACAUUGCUUUGUGGAUGCUAUCAAGUGCUGGCAAAUGUGUGGGAGAAUGAAUGGAAAACUUCAUCAAUUUCUAGGAUAGUAAAUUGGUGCUGCUAUUUUGGAGAGCAAUUUGUCAGCCUUCAGGGGAAACUGAAUAUGCACAUCCUCUAAGACCCAGCAGUUUCACUUCAAAGAAAAUUUCUUAUAUGCACAGAGACUUGUACAAGGAUAUUUAUCACAGCACUGUUUGUAAUAACAAAGGGCUGGAAAUAAACCAAAUGGCCAAUGAUAAGAAUUGAUAAAUGUGGUAAAUGCCUAAAAUAGAAUGUCACACAGCAGUUAAAAAAUCAUUUAUUCACUAAUUAAGCAAAGGACAAAAAGCCUCAACAGAAAAAAAAAGACAAAAGCCUUGAAUAGUCACUUUGCCAAAUGUUCAAUACACGUACAAAAACAUGGGCAAGUUCAUUGGUUGUCAAGGAAGUUCGAAUUAAAGCCACAUUUUGCAGGUACAACACUGGCACAAGUUUAAGUCUGAUGAUACCAAGUCUUGGAGAAGGUUGAAGCUACUGGAAAACCUGCCCUCUGCUGGUGGGAGUGCAAAUUGCUCCAAGCUCUUUGGACAAUAAUUUGGCAUCCUCUAGUGAAGUUGAAGAUGUGUGUGCUUGAGACUCAGCAAUUCCCCUUUGUGACAUCAGGAUGCUCCCGCACAUAUGCUUAAGAACAUUCAUGCCAGCUUUGUUUAUAUAACAAAAACGUGGAAAUAACCCAAAUGUCUGAGGAUGGGGAAUGGACAAAUAAUGGUUCAUAGUUAUGAAAAUGAAUACACAACAGCUACAAGCAUCUACUGGAAUGAAUCUCACAUGCAUUGUGUUGUAGAAGAAUAUGUAUAAUUCCAUUUAUGUAAAGUUUAAAAGCAUGCACAACUAAAUGAUAUGUUAUUUAUGAGUAUAUGACAUAUAUGAUAAAGGCAAAGAAUAAAUAAAGUAAGGAAAGGUAAGACAAUAAGAGUUUGUGAUACUGGUUACCUAUUAUGGGGAAGGAUGUUGGGGACAGGUGGGACACCUUGGGGAUUAUCUGAUACUGGCAAUCUGACAGGUGGUAGGUCACCAGGUGUUCUUAUUAACUUCAAUACUCUAUAUAUCCUAACACUGGUAAAUCUCAAGUAUGUAAUACUGAAUGAAAAAAAAUCAAAAGUCAAAUAGUACAGUCCUAUUUGUGAAGAAAAACUAACCCACGUGAAUAAAGUAUUGUUAGGGAUGCCUCUCUAUGUAAAUAAAGCCGUACAGGGCAGCUACAUGUUAAAUUCGUUGGCGUGUGCACAUACAGUGGAAUGAUAAUGGGAUUAGGGACUGAGUGAAGGGGAGGGCAGUACAUAACAUUUCAAAAUGGUAAACAUGAAAAUGGGGCUGUUUGUGAACUCCUGAUGCUUGUGUGCCAUGAACUGACUUGAGGUGGUUAAAUUAAGCAAUUCGCUCUCUUUCCAUGCAUGUGAUAUCCCAAAGGGAAAGAAAGGUUGCUUUGCAAAUUAGAAUAAUCAAAAUCAAGUAUGAACCAUUAAACAUGUUUUGCUUGCUGGUAGAUUAAGGAUCACACUGGAUAUACAGUAGAAAAUA
RNAcentral lists this long non-coding RNA (1670 nucleotides) under Homo sapiens (human). Its description in RNAcentral is "HSALNT0169051". The record is from RNAcentral. Lineage: Eukaryota; Metazoa; Chordata; Mammalia; Primates; Hominidae.